Molecule: ribosomal RNA, 305 nt
Filed under: uncultured bacterium
Lineage: Bacteria
Description: bacterial SSU rRNA
Rfam family: Bacterial small subunit ribosomal RNA
Source: RNAcentral
UGGUCCUACGGGGGGCAGCAGUGGGGGAUAUUGCACAAUGGGGGAAACCCUGAUGCAGCGACGCCGCGUGUGGGAAGACGGUCCUCUGGAUUGUAAACCACUGUCCCCAGGGACGAAGAUGACGGUACCUGGGGAGGAAGCUCCGGCUAACUACGUGCCAGCAGCCGCGGUAAUACGUAGGGAGCGAGCGUUGUCCGGAAUUACUGGGUGUAAGGGGAGCGUAGGCGGGGAUGCAAGUUGGGUGUCACACCUACCGGCUCAACUGGUAGUCGCACUCACAACUGCAGCUCUUGAGUGAAGGAGAG